GACGAACGCUGGCGGCGUGCCUAAUUCAUGCAAGUCGAGCGGAUGGAAGGAAGCUUGCUUCCUAAAGUCAGCGGCGGACGGGUGAGUAACACGUGAGCAACCUGCCCCUAAGAUCGGGAUAACUUCGGGAAACCGGAGCUAAUACCGGAUAUGAUUAUGUCUCACAUGAGACAUAAUGGAAAGACGGUUUCGGCUGUCACUUAGGGAUGGGCCCGCGGCGGAUUAGCUAGUUGGUGAGGUAACGGCUCACCAAGGCGACGAUGCGUAGCCGACCUGAGAGGGUGAUCGGCCACACUGGGACUGAGACACGGCCCAGACUCCUACGGGAGGCAGCAGUAGGGAAUCUUGCGUAAUGAGCGAAAGCUUGACGCAGCAACGCCGCGUGAGGGAAGAAGGCCUUCGGGUCGUAAACCUCUUUCAGGGAAGAGUAAGGCCCGUGAGUUAACAGCUCAUAAGGGUUGAAAGUAUUCCCAGAAGAAGCACCGGCUAACUACGUGCCAGCCGCCGCAGUAA
This 513-nucleotide ribosomal RNA is filed under the name uncultured bacterium. RNAcentral describes it as "partial 16S ribosomal RNA". It matches the Rfam family "Bacterial small subunit ribosomal RNA", at positions 28 to 523 of the family's 1533-position model. The record is from RNAcentral.